Molecule: ribosomal RNA, 253 nt
Filed under: uncultured bacterium
Lineage: Bacteria
Description: partial 16S ribosomal RNA
Rfam family: Bacterial small subunit ribosomal RNA
Source: RNAcentral
UACGUAGGUGGCAAGCGUUAUCCGGAUUUAUUGGGCGUAAAGGGAACGCAGGCGGUCUUUUAAGUCUGAUGUGAAAGCCUUCGGCUUAACCGGAGCAGUGCAUUGGAAACUGGGAGACUUGAGUGCAGAAGAGGAGAGUGGAACUCCAUGUGUAGCGGUGAUAUGCGUAGAUAUAUGGAAGAACACCAGCGGCGAAAGCGGCUCUCUGGUCUGUAACUGACGCUGAGGUUCGAAAGCGUGGGUAGCAAACAGG